GAAAUGAUUAGGAAAAUCAAAUUAAGGCUGAUGUCAUUAGGCAAGAAAAAAGAAAUAAAGCAUUUAUUCCUCCAGAAGAACCAAUUCAAGAUAGAAAAGAAGUAAAAGAUACCAAAAUUAAUAUAGAACAAUUUAAAAAGAAUAUCAAGAAAUCACAGAAAAGAGGAUUCAGGCCAGAUCAAGAUACAUAUGAAAUACCCCAGAAAAAGAAAAAAAAGAAAUAAUUUAUUUACAGUAAUUAAAAAUUUAAGGAAUAAAUU
Molecule: long non-coding RNA, 260 nt
Organism: Centruroides sculpturatus (bark scorpion)
Lineage: Eukaryota; Metazoa; Arthropoda; Arachnida; Scorpiones; Buthidae
Exons: 3
Source: RefSeq, a predicted model, not a curated record